CUCUAUGCAAAUAGAGAGGCUGACGUCACCCGUCACGUGGUUUCAGCGUCGCUGCCCCGCUGGGAGCCAGGGUUUUUUUUUUUUUUUUUGGUUUUUUUCCUGCCCCCUCCCCUGCGCCCCUCCCCCGCCUGCGGGCUCCUCCUCCUGCUCCUCCUCCUGCUCCUCCUGCUCCUGCUGCUCCUCCUGCUCCUGCCGCCGCCGGGGUGUUGUUGGGCUGCUCCCGGCUGGGCGGGAGCCCCGCUCCCCUGUGGGAUCCCCCCGUGCGGGGUGGGGGCGGGAGGACUGGCCGGGCCGGGGGCCCCGCAGCGCCCCGCCUGCAGAUGUGACAGGUGGCUGCUUCCAGGGUCCAAUGGUGAAGAGACCUCCAGGAUGUGAGGGGUACGUUCCUGGUAAGUAAAAUUGUGGGGAGCCCAGGUUGGGGGUUCAGGAACUGGGAAUAGAUGGCCUGAAGGGAAGUGGCUAUGGUGGAGACAACAUCUGCGCUGGCUGGCGGAGACAGCGUCUCUGCUAGCUAGGGGAACCCCAGCCCAUGGAGAACAGUUUGCAGCCCUGGUGUAGCUACAUCUCAGCAACCUUUUGCCUCUCCUGUGGAUUGGCACAGAGUGGAUCUGGAAGCAAUCCAGACCCAGCAGAGUUGGUAGUCAUGUUCCCUUCAAUCAUUCAUUCAUUCAGUCGCAUUUAUUGAGUGCUUACGGUGUGCAGAGUACUGUAUUAAGCUCUUGGGAGAGUACAGUAUAACUAUAAACAGACACAUUCCCGGCCCACAGGGAGCUUACAGUCUAGAGGGGGAGACAGGCCGUGAUAUGAGUGAUACAUAAUUCAUAGAUAUGCACUUCAGUGAGGUGGGGCUGAGGGUGGGGAAGUGCAUUUGCAGCUGAAAAUGAAUUUCAGUCAAUCAGUGGUACUUAUUGAGCUUUUA
Molecule: long non-coding RNA, 919 nt
Filed under: Ornithorhynchus anatinus (platypus)
Lineage: Eukaryota; Metazoa; Chordata; Mammalia; Monotremata; Ornithorhynchidae
Description: lncRNA (ENSOANG00000040318.1)
Source: RNAcentral